Long non-coding RNA from Pieris rapae (cabbage white), 604 nucleotides. RefSeq lists it as uncharacterized. The record is from RefSeq and is a predicted model, not a curated record. The transcript has 2 exons. Lineage: Eukaryota; Metazoa; Arthropoda; Insecta; Lepidoptera; Pieridae.
CGGGCCACACAUACCGGCAACAAUGGCUGAUGAAAUCACACUUGUCGCAGCAGCUUAUAUUAAUUUUAAAAGAACAGAAAAAGAAGAGAUUGAGGAUUCGACCUUAUUUAAAUAGGCGUGAAACUGUAGACAAUUUGAGUCUAGCAGUAAUAAGCCUUGAUAAUAAAUUAUUCAAGAACUUGGCUAGAAUUUCAAAAGGCGACUUUGACUUUCUCUUAAACAAAAUUGGACCAAAAAUAAAAAGAAAUGAUACAAACAUGAGAACAGCAAUACCUGUUUCAUCGCCAUCACGAGAUUUGCGAUAACUCUACGGUUUUUGGCAACAGGAGAUUCAUUUAAAAGUUUUAUGUACCUGUUCCGUGUUAGAUGUUAGAUUUCAAGUAGAGUGUUAGAUUUCAACUUUUAUACAAGAGGUGUGUACAGCUAUUAUAGAAGGAUUAAAAUAAUACAUCAAGAUGCCGUCAGGAGUAACAGAAUGGAAACAAGUUGCAAAAGAUUUCGAGGGAAGAAGUUCAAUUUAUCAAUCGAUAUGAUACAUACGUAAUACAGAGAUAUGUACAUUUAUAAUGACUAAAAUAUUUUAUUAAAGAUACUUACGUUAGAA